RNAcentral lists this ribosomal RNA (478 nucleotides) under uncultured bacterium. Its description in RNAcentral is "partial 16S ribosomal RNA". It matches the Rfam family "Bacterial small subunit ribosomal RNA", at positions 28 to 507 of the family's 1533-position model. The record is from RNAcentral.
GAUGAACGCUAGCGGCAGGCCUAACACAUGCAAGUCGAGGGAGAAGCCCUUUCGGGGGCAGAAACCGGCGCACGGGUGCGUAACGCGUAUGCAACCUACCUUUCACAGGGGGAUAGCCCGAAGAAAUUUGGAUUAAUACCCCAUAAUAUUAUUGGAUGGCAUCAUUUGAUAAUUAAAACUGCGGUGGUGAAAGAUGGGCAUGCGUCCUAUUAGCUAGUUGGAGUGGUAACGGCACCCCAAGGCUACGAUAGGUAGGGGUCCUGAGAGGGAGAUCCCCCACACGGGUACUGAGACAGGGACCAGACUCCUACGGGAGGCAGCAGUGAGGAAGAUUGGUCAAUGGUCGGAAGACUGAACCAGCCAUGCCGCGUGCAGGAAGAAUGCCUUAUGGGUUGUAAACUGCUUUUAUAUGGGAAGAAUAAGGCGUACGUGUACGUUGAUGACGGUACCAUAUGAAUAAGCAUCGGCUAACUCCGUG